GGGAGAGUGGCUGAGUGGCUAAAGGCGACGGACUGUAACUCCGUUGACAUAGUCUACGCAGGUUCGAAUCCUGCCUCUCCCA
This 82-nucleotide transfer RNA is filed under the name Picochlorum sp. 'soloecismus'. Its description in RNAcentral is "tRNA-Tyr". It matches the Rfam family "tRNA". Rfam says of the family: Transfer RNA (tRNA) molecules are approximately 80 nucleotides in length. Their secondary structure includes four short double-helical elements and three loops (D, anti-codon, and T loops). Lineage: Eukaryota; Viridiplantae; Chlorophyta; Trebouxiophyceae. The record is from RNAcentral.